UACGUAGGGGGCAAGCGUUAUCCGGAUUUACUGGGUGUAAAGGGGGCGCAGACGGCAAUGCAAGCCAGGAGUGAAAGCCCGGGGCCCAACCCCGGGACUGCUCUUGGAACUGCAUGGCUGGAGUACAGGAGGGGCAGGCGGAAUUCCUAGUGUAGCGGUGAAAUGCGUAGAUAUUAGGAAGAACACCAGUGGCGAAGGCGGCUUUCUGGACUGAAACUGACGCUGAGGCACGAAAGCGUGGGGAGCGAACAGG
Molecule: ribosomal RNA, 253 nt
Filed under: uncultured bacterium
Lineage: Bacteria
Description: partial 16S ribosomal RNA
Rfam family: Bacterial small subunit ribosomal RNA
Source: RNAcentral